GGUCAAGUGAAGAAGCGCAUACGGUGGAUGCCUUGGCAGUCAGAGGCGAUGAAAGACGUGGUAGCCUGCGAAAAGCUUCGGGGAGUCGGCAAACAGACUUUGAUCCGGAGAUGUCUGAAUGGGGGAACCCAGCCAUCAUAAGAUGGUUAUCUUGUACUGAAUACAUAGGUGCAAGAGGCGAACCAGGGGAACUGAAACAUCUAAGUACCCUGAGGAAAAGAAAU
Molecule: ribosomal RNA, 224 nt
Filed under: Klebsiella pneumoniae
Lineage: Bacteria; Pseudomonadati; Pseudomonadota; Gammaproteobacteria; Enterobacterales; Enterobacteriaceae
Description: partial 23S ribosomal RNA
Rfam family: Bacterial large subunit ribosomal RNA
Source: RNAcentral